AUACCUGUUCGAGCGUCAUUACACCCCUCAAAGUUAACUCUUUGACGUUGGGCAAUGCCUUUAGGCAUGCCUUAAAAUCAGCGAUGGUGAUAUUCAACCGCAGGCGCACAAACGUCGUCUAGCUGGGGGGAUGUUGUCAGUCAAUUGAUGAAUUUCUAAAUGUUGACCUCGGAUCAGGUAGGAUUACCCGCUGAACUUAA
This 200-nucleotide unclassified non-coding RNA is filed under the name soil metagenome. Its description in RNAcentral is "partial contains internal transcribed spacer 2 and large subunit ribosomal RNA". The record is from RNAcentral.